RNAcentral lists this ribosomal RNA (956 nucleotides) under Megalobenedenia derzhavini. Its description in RNAcentral is "16S ribosomal RNA". The stretch from base 622 to 911 matches the Rfam family "Bacterial large subunit ribosomal RNA", at positions 2074 to 2646 of the family's 2925-position model. The record is from RNAcentral. Lineage: Eukaryota; Metazoa; Platyhelminthes; Monogenea; Capsalidea; Capsalidae.
UUUAUAGAUAAAACUAAAAUUAAAAUUUUAAGUUUACCUUUUGCAUCAUGAUUUACCGAGUAAAUUUAAAUAUUUAUAAACUUGAAAUGUUAAGAUAUUAAAGUUUUUUACUAUAGCGGGUAGCUCUAGAAUUUAAUACUUUAAGAAGUGAUAAAUUAAUCGGUUAACAUUAUAACCAGUUUGAGACUUGAAACUUAAAUUAGGAAAAACCUGUUAAUAAGUUUUUUCUAUUUGUAAAUAAAAUAAUAAAUACAUUUGUAGGGUAGAAAGGUAACCUCACUUAAAUAAGUGUUAUAACUUAGUAUUUAAAUUUUUAAAAUUUUCUGUUAGUGGUCUCAUUUAAUUAACUAUAUAAAAUAAAUUAUGUUAAAAUAAGUAUAAAAAUAGUUAAUAAUUUUCUCAAAAUAAUUCGGUAUGUUUAUUAAAAACAUUUCUAUAAAGAUUUAUUUAUAGUAUAACCUGCUCAGUGCGAUGUAAAUAGCCGCAGUAUUUUGACUGUGCUAAGGUAGCAUAAUUGAUUGCCUUUUAAAUGGAGGAUUGUUUGAAUGGUUGGACCAGAAUUACUAUUUAAUAAUUAAUUAAACAGAAAUUAGUUUAUCAGCACAGAAUCUGAUAUAAUCUUAUUAGACGGAAAGACCCUGAAAUCUUAAUAAUUUAAAUUUGCUUGGGACAAGAUUAAAUAUAUUAUUUAAAUUGGGAACCCCUGUUUUGGGUUUAAUGAUUGAAGUUACUUCAGGGAUAACUGGGUUAGAAAAAGUUAAAGCUCUUAUUAAACUUUUUAAUUGCCACCUCGAUGUUGACUUAGAGUUUACCACUUGGCGCAGAAGCUAAAAUUGGUGGGUCUGUUCGGCCCUUAAACCUCUAAUGAGUUGAGUUAAGACCGGCGUAAGCCAGGUUGGUUCUUAUCUAUAUUUGAUUUCUUUUAGUACGAAAGGAUUUAAGAAGUUUUAGGUUAA